RNAcentral lists this ribosomal RNA (471 nucleotides) under uncultured bacterium. Its description in RNAcentral is "partial 16S ribosomal RNA". It matches the Rfam family "Bacterial small subunit ribosomal RNA", at positions 28 to 507 of the family's 1533-position model. The record is from RNAcentral.
GACGAACGCUGGCGGCGUGCUUAACACAUGCAAGUCGAACGCUGAAGCUUGGUGCUUGCACUGGGUGGAUGAGUGGCGAACGGGUGAGUAAUACGUGAGUAACCUGCCCUGACUUCGGGGUAAGCCUGGGAAACUGGGUUUCACUAUGGAUUCGACAUGUCACCGCCUGGGGGUGUGUGGAAAGGGGUUUUGUGGUUUUGGAUGGGCGCACGGCCUAUUUGCUUGUUUGGGGGGUUAUGGCCCACCCAGGGGACGACGGGUAGCCGGCCUGAGAGGGUGACCGGCCACACGGGGACUAAGACACGGCCCAGACGCCUACGUGAGGCAGCAGUGGGGAAUAUUGCACAAUGGGCGGAAGCCUGAUGCAGCGACGCCGCGUUAGGGAUGACGGCCUUCGGGUUGUAAACCUCUUUCAGCACGGAAGAAGCGAAAGUGACGGUACGUGCAGAAGAAGCGCCGGCUAACUACGUG